GUCGACGUCUGAUUUCCCGGACGCCCGAAAUUCCGGACAUGCCUGAUUUCCCGGACUCAUCUGUGGCACCGUCAAGUUCCCCAUAGAGUCAAUGUAUUAAAAAGUCCGAAAUUCCGGACGCUUAUAGCCUUCGCCAUCUGAUUUCCCGGACUUUUUACUGUUAACCGCCGACCCAGAGUCACCACCAACGCCGCCAUUUUGGUUGUUUUCAUAUCCUCGAACCCACCAUACUCGCAUCGCAGGUUACCGCCGCACCGCGCCGCGGCUGCCGUAACCUCGAAA
Molecule: long non-coding RNA, 282 nt
Organism: Rhipicephalus sanguineus (brown dog tick)
Lineage: Eukaryota; Metazoa; Arthropoda; Arachnida; Ixodida; Ixodidae
Exons: 2
Source: RefSeq, a predicted model, not a curated record